UACAGAGGGUGCGAGCGUUGUCCGGAAUCACUGGGCGUAAAGGGCGCGUAGGCGGCUUGAUAAGUAGGGGGUGAAAUCUUGCGGCUCAACUGCAAGGCUGCCUCCUAAACUGUCGGGCUUGAGCACAGUAGAGGCAGGUGGAAUUCCCGGUGUAGCGGUGGAAUGCGUAGAGAUCGGGAAGAACAUCGGUGGCGAAGGCGGCCUGCUGGGCUGUUGCUGACGCUGAGGCGCGACAGCGUGGGGAGCAAACAGG
Molecule: ribosomal RNA, 253 nt
Filed under: uncultured bacterium
Lineage: Bacteria
Description: partial 16S ribosomal RNA
Rfam family: Bacterial small subunit ribosomal RNA
Source: RNAcentral